This 76-nucleotide transfer RNA is filed under the name Anaerococcus hydrogenalis. RNAcentral's name for it is "tRNA-Trp". It matches the Rfam family "tRNA". Rfam says of the family: Transfer RNA (tRNA) molecules are approximately 80 nucleotides in length. Their secondary structure includes four short double-helical elements and three loops (D, anti-codon, and T loops). The record is from RNAcentral. Lineage: Bacteria; Bacillati; Bacillota; Tissierellia; Tissierellales; Peptoniphilaceae. RNAcentral also lists the same sequence under 13 other names.
AGGGGUUUAGUUCAGUUGGUAGAACGUCGGUCUCCAAAACCGGAUGUCACGGGUUCAAGUCCUGUAACCCCUGCCA